This 2405-nucleotide long non-coding RNA is filed under the name Triticum aestivum (bread wheat). Its description in RNAcentral is "long non-coding RNA (TAES_LNC028512)". Lineage: Eukaryota; Viridiplantae; Streptophyta; Magnoliopsida; Poales; Poaceae. The record is from RNAcentral.
AAUAAGAAAGGGAUAAAGAGUUGGCUUACAAUCGCCACUUCACACAAAUAACAAGUUAACAUACAUCAUACAGAGUACAACCAAGGUCCGACUACGGAACCAAAAUAAAAGAAGACAACCCCAAAUGCUAGAUCCUCGAUCGUCCCAACUGGGCACCACUACUGAUCAUCCGGAAAAGACAAAUAACAACGACCAAGAUCUUCACCGAGCUCCCACUUGAGCUCGGUAGCAUCACCUGCACUGGUAUCAUCGGUACCUGCAACUGUUUGGAAGUAUUCGUGAGUCACGAGGACUCAGCAAUCUCACACCCGCGAGAUCAAGACUAUUUAAGCUUAUGGGUAGGGUAAGGUAAGGAGGUGGAGAUACAACAAGCACUAAGCAUAUGUGGUGGCUAACAUACGCAAAUAAGAACAAGAAGAGAAGCAACGCAACGGCCGAGAAGCUAGAAGUGAUCCUAAAACUACUUACUUUCAAGCAUAACACAAGACCGUGUUCACUUCCCGGACUCUGCCGAAAAGAGACCAUCAUGGCUACACACGCGGUUGAUGCAUUUUAAUUAAGUUAAGUGUCAAGUUCUCUACAACCGAACAUUAACAAAUUCCCAUCUGCCACAUAACCGCGGGCACGGUUUUCGAAAGUUUAUAACCUGUAGGGGUGUCCCAACUUAGCCCAUCACAAGCUCUCACGGUCAACGAAGGAUAUUCCUUCUCCCGGAAAGACCCGAUCAGCCUCGGAAUCCCGGUUACAAGACAUUUCGACAAUGGUAAAACAAGACCAGCAAGACCGCUCGAAUGUGCCGACAAAUCCCGAUAGGAGCUGCACAUAUCUCGUUCUCAGGGCACACCAGAUGGGCAAGACGUCGGGUUGGCAUAGACCCUGGUUGCCCAGGGGGCGCCGGACAUCGCCCAGUUCAGACCAACACUUAGAGAAGCACUGGCCCCAGGGGGGGGGGUUAAAAAUAAAGAUGACCCUCGGGCUCGCGAAAACCCAGGGGAAAGUUAUAGGUUGUUAGGCAAAUGUAAAACCAAUGUUGGGCCUUGCUGCAGGAGUUUUAUUCAAAGCGAACUGUCAAGGCGUUCCCAUAACACCCAACCGCGUAAGGAACGCAAAAUCAAGGAGAAUAACACUAGUAUGACGGAAACUAGGGCGGCAAGAGUGGAACAAAACACCAGGCAUAAGGCCGAGCCUUCCACCCUUUACCAAGUAUAUAUAUGCAUUAAAAUUAAAUAAGAGAUAUUGUGAUAUCCCAACAUAUCCAUGUUCUAACAAGGAACAAACUUCAAAUUCACCUGCAACUAGCAACGCUAUAAGAGGGGCUGAGAAAAAGCGGUAACAUAGCCAAACAACGGUUUGCUAGGAAGGUGGGUUAGAGGCUUGACAUGGCAAUAUGAGAGGCAUGAUAUAACAAGAGGUAGGUAGCGCGACAUAGCGAUAGAGCGAACAACUAGCAAGCAAAGAUAGAAGUGAUAUCGAGGGUAUGGUCAUCUUGCCUGAGAUCCCGCAAGGAAGAAGAACGGGUCCAUGAAGAAGAUAAAUGGACGUAGUCGAACGGAUCCUCACAAACGGGACGUUACCGGAACUAUCGAGAAGAAGCACAACCGGAAAGGAGCAAACAACAUGGUAAACCAGCAAGCAUAAACAUGGCAUGAUGCACAAUCAAGUAUGAUGCAUGUCCGGUUUAAUGAGGCAUGGCAUGGAAAAGUGCACAAACAAUACUACAAAUUAAGUGGAGCUCAAUAUGCAACGAGUUGCAUAUUGACGAAACACCACAUUUGAUUAUUUAGUUCUCUCUCGUUUAUGUACCCAACAAUAUUAAAUGUUAUUAAACAUGUCAAGUGGUGAAGCACAACAAAACUACCUAUCUGGGCAAGUUUAAAUGAGGCCGGAAACAACGAACAACAAUUCCGGAAAAUCCUGAUAUGCAAAUUUUUAGAGUUGGUACUGUUCUGCACUAAACCAUACUUUGAGUUGUUAAACAUGCAAAGUAAUGCUACCAUGUUAAUCUAUGCAUUUUUCCACCCCAUUUACAUAUAAAGUUUAUUAAGUUUGGAGCUACGGUUAUUUAGUUAUGAAAUAAAUCAUUUUAGCAUGAAAAUUAUGCAAAUUAUAAGCAAACAUCAUUUUAAACAUUUUUAACAUGGAUGAAAGCUGCAUAUUAUGAAACUAGACAAAAUUCUAAGCAUUUUACAUAUUAAGUUUGUUUAAUUAUGAUGCAAUGUUGUGAAGUUAUUAAAUGCAUGAUCUAGAGGGACUUUUCUGUAAAACAGGAAAACCCUGGAAAAUUAGUUAAUCCGCAGACGCUGAAAAACAACACGUCAUGGGCCGAAUCUGAAGCAUGUUGGGCCAGUUGUAGGAAAAAAGGAGGGGCGCUGGGGAGCUCACCCAUGGGCCAGGCCCAACUGGCA